This 643-nucleotide ribosomal RNA is filed under the name Morganella morganii. Its description in RNAcentral is "partial 23S ribosomal RNA". It matches the Rfam family "Bacterial large subunit ribosomal RNA", at positions 2181 to 2823 of the family's 2925-position model. RNAcentral also lists the same sequence under 1 other name. Lineage: Bacteria; Pseudomonadati; Pseudomonadota; Gammaproteobacteria; Enterobacterales; Morganellaceae. The record is from RNAcentral.
CGGAGCCAUCCUUGAAAUACCACCCUUUAACGUUUGAUGUUCUAACCCGGGUCCAUAAUCUGGAUCGGGGACCGUGUCUGGUGGGUAGUUUGACUGGGGCGGUCUCCUCCCAAAGAGUAACGGAGGAGCACGAAGGUUGGCUAAGCAUGGUCGGACAUCAUGCGGUUAGUGCAAAGGCAUAAGCCAGCUUGACUGCGAGAGUGACGGCUCGAGCAGGUACGAAAGUAGGUCUUAGUGAUCCGGUGGUUCUGAAUGGAAGGGCCAUCGCUCAACGGAUAAAAGGUACUCCGGGGAUAACAGGCUGAUACCGCCCAAGAGUUCAUAUCGACGGCGGUGUUUGGCACCUCGAUGUCGGCUCAUCACAUCCUGGGGCUGAAGUAGGUCCCAAGGGUAUGGCUGUUCGCCAUUUAAAGUGGUACGCGAGCUGGGUUUAGAACGUCGUGAGACAGUUCGGUCCCUAUCUGCCGUGGGCGCUGGAAGAUUGAGAGGGGUUGCUCCUAGUACGAGAGGACCGGAGUGAACGCACCACUGGUGUACGGGUUGUGAUGCCAAUUGCAUUGCCCGGUAGCUAAGUGCGGAAGAGAUAACCGCUGAAAGCAUCUAAGCGGGAAACUUGCCUCGAGAUGAGUCUUCCCUGACCCUU